GACGAACGCUGGCGGCGUGCUUAACACAUGCAAGUCGAACGGAAAGGCCCUGCUUUUGUGGGGUGCUCGAGUGGCGAACGGGUGAGUAACACGUGAGUAACCUGCCCUUGACUUUGGGAUAACUUCAGGAAACUGGGGCUAAUACCGGGUAGGAGCUCCUGCUGCAUGGUGGGGGUUGGAAAGUUUCGGCGGUUGGGGAUGGACUCGCGGCUUAUCAGCUUGUUGGUGGGGUAGUGGCUUACCAAGGCUUUGACGGGUAGCCGGCCUGAGAGGGUGACCGGCCACAUUGGGACUGAGAUACGGCCCAGACUCCUACGGGAGGCAGCAGUGGGGAAUAUUGCACAAUGGGCGGAAGCCUGAUGCAGCAGCGCCGCGUGCGGGAUGACGGCCUUCGGGUUGUAAACCGCUUUCGCCUGUGACGAAGCGUGAGUGACGGUAAUGGGUAAAGAAGCACCGGCUAACUACGUG
Molecule: ribosomal RNA, 468 nt
Filed under: uncultured bacterium
Lineage: Bacteria
Description: partial 16S ribosomal RNA
Rfam family: Bacterial small subunit ribosomal RNA
Source: RNAcentral